UACGUAGGGCGCAAGCGUUGUCCGGAAUUAUUGGGCGUAAAGAGCUCGUAGGCGGCCAGUUGCGUCCGCUGUGAAAGCCCGGGGCUUAACCCCGGGUCGGCAGUGGAUACGGGCAGGCUAGAGGUAGGUAGGGGAGAAUGGAAUUCCCGGUGUAGCGGUGAAAUGCGCAGAUAUCGGGAGGAACACCGGUGGCGAAGGCGGUUCUCUGGGCCUUACCUGACGCUGAGGAGCGAAAGCGUGGGGAGCGAACAGG
Molecule: ribosomal RNA, 253 nt
Filed under: uncultured bacterium
Lineage: Bacteria
Description: partial 16S ribosomal RNA
Rfam family: Bacterial small subunit ribosomal RNA
Source: RNAcentral